Molecule: ribosomal RNA, 253 nt
Filed under: uncultured bacterium
Lineage: Bacteria
Description: partial 16S ribosomal RNA
Rfam family: Bacterial small subunit ribosomal RNA
Source: RNAcentral
UACGUAGGGUGCAAGCGUUGUCCGGAAUUAUUGGGCGUAAAGAGCGCGCAGGCGGUCCUUCAAGUCAGAUGUGAAAUAUCCGGGCUUAACCCGGAGGGGUCAUUUGAAACUGGGGGACUAGAGUACAGCAGAGGAUAGCGGAAUUCCCGGUGUAGUGGUGAAAUGCGUAGAUAUCGGGAGGAACACCAGUGGCGAAGGCGGCUUUCUGGACAGUAACUGACGCUGAGGCGCGAAAGCUAGGGGAGCAAACGGG